This 1551-nucleotide ribosomal RNA is filed under the name Klebsiella pneumoniae. RNAcentral describes it as "bacterial SSU rRNA". It matches the Rfam family "Bacterial small subunit ribosomal RNA". The record is from RNAcentral. Lineage: Bacteria; Pseudomonadati; Pseudomonadota; Gammaproteobacteria; Enterobacterales; Enterobacteriaceae.
AAAUUGAAGAGUUUGAUCAUGGCUCAGAUUGAACGCUGGCGGCAGGCCUAACACAUGCAAGUCGAGCGGUAGCACAGAGAGCUUGCUCUCGGGUGACGAGCGGCGGACGGGUGAGUAAUGUCUGGGAAACUGCCUGAUGGAGGGGGAUAACUACUGGAAACGGUAGCUAAUACCGCAUAAUGUCGCAAGACCAAAGUGGGGGACCUUCGGGCCUCAUGCCAUCAGAUGUGCCCAGAUGGGAUUAGCUAGUAGGUGGGGUAACGGCUCACCUAGGCGACGAUCCCUAGCUGGUCUGAGAGGAUGACCAGCCACACUGGAACUGAGACACGGUCCAGACUCCUACGGGAGGCAGCAGUGGGGAAUAUUGCACAAUGGGCGCAAGCCUGAUGCAGCCAUGCCGCGUGUGUGAAGAAGGCCUUCGGGUUGUAAAGCACUUUCAGCGGGGAGGAAGGCGUUAAGGUUAAUAACCUUGGCGAUUGACGUUACCCGCAGAAGAAGCACCGGCUAACUCCGUGCCAGCAGCCGCGGUAAUACGGAGGGUGCAAGCGUUAAUCGGAAUUACUGGGCGUAAAGCGCACGCAGGCGGUCUGUCAAGUCGGAUGUGAAAUCCCCGGGCUCAACCUGGGAACUGCAUUCGAAACUGGCAGGCUAGAGUCUUGUAGAGGGGGGUAGAAUUCCAGGUGUAGCGGUGAAAUGCGUAGAGAUCUGGAGGAAUACCGGUGGCGAAGGCGGCCCCCUGGACAAAGACUGACGCUCAGGUGCGAAAGCGUGGGGAGCAAACAGGAUUAGAUACCCUGGUAGUCCACGCCGUAAACGAUGUCGAUUUGGAGGUUGUGCCCUUGAGGCGUGGCUUCCGGAGCUAACGCGUUAAAUCGACCGCCUGGGGAGUACGGCCGCAAGGUUAAAACUCAAAUGAAUUGACGGGGGCCCGCACAAGCGGUGGAGCAUGUGGUUUAAUUCGAUGCAACGCGAAGAACCUUACCUGGUCUUGACAUCCACAGAACUUUCCAGAGAUGGAUUGGUGCCUUCGGGAACUGUGAGACAGGUGCUGCAUGGCUGUCGUCAGCUCGUGUUGUGAAAUGUUGGGUUAAGUCCCGCAACGAGCGCAACCCUUAUCCUUUGUUGCCAGCGGUUCGGCCGGGAACUCAAAGGAGACUGCCAGUGAUAAACUGGAGGAAGGUGGGGAUGACGUCAAGUCAUCAUGGCCCCUUACGACCAGGGCUACACACGUGCUACAAUGGCAUAUACAAAGAGAAGCGACCUCGCGAGAGCAAGCGGACCUCAUAAAGUAUGUCGUAGUCCGGAUUGGAGUCUGCAACUCGACUCCAUGAAGUCGGAAUCGCUAGUAAUCGUAGAUCAGAAUGCUACGGUGAAUACGUUCCCGGGCCUUGUACACACCGCCCGUCACACCAUGGGAGUGGGUUGCAAAAGAAGUAGGUAGCUUAACCUUCGGGAGGGCGCUUACCACUUUGUGAUUCAUGACUGGGGUGAAGUCGUAACAAGGUAACCGUAGGGGAACCUGCGGUUGGAUCACCUCCUUACCUUAAAGAA